Molecule: long non-coding RNA, 1175 nt
Organism: Clupea harengus (Atlantic herring)
Lineage: Eukaryota; Metazoa; Chordata; Actinopteri; Clupeiformes; Clupeidae
Source: Ensembl
AGUGAGAGUGUUUAUAGUGACUUUGGAGGGGGGGGGGGGGAAAGUUUGACAAAGAAAACAUGUCAGAAAGCAGCACAAUGUGUGGGCCCUCCUGAGACAAACCCUCUGCCCUCACCCGUGGGCUUACUGCCGCGGCCCCUGGGGGCUGUUCUGCACUGCCCACUUCAGAGCCUGUCUGCCACUGUCAUCUGUCCAUAUUGGCUAUGGUACCAUGUUGGCACUACCAUGCUGUGUGAUGUACACCAUGUUGGAUCGACAGUUUUUGAUGAACUGUGUUGUUAUAGGGUGGGAGUGUAGGGUAGCAUAUGCUAGUAUAAUCCUAAAGACUACAAAUACAAUUUGGUUUACUAUCAUUUUCAGUCACAUUUUAUAGAAUGAAAGCGUUGCAAACGUAUUUAAGGGGAGAUUACCUUCUGGUUUCCGGUUACGAGACUCGUACUGAGUCAGUAAACCACAUUGUAAGUCUUCUGGUUAUUCUAAGAAUAUUCAGAUGCUGCCAAUGGCCAGUUUUAGUCUUGGGUGCCAGUCUACAAUGAGUGACUGUAUUUCCUGUUUGGUUCACAAUGUCAGUGUGUCAAACUCUGAAUGUAUUUCAAAACUACCAAACGCGAGGGGUUAUAGAAUGAGAUUUACUGAGUUGUUGUUUCAGUUUGACUAGCUGUCUCUGACAACAUCUUUGACCUGCCUGUGUCACUCACACAGGCACAAAUGUUGCCUAUAACGCAACCAAAUAUAUUUCGCUCCUGUCAUUUUAUAUGAAAAUCUUCAAUUCAGCACAAUUGUCCAGGUUAAACGUAGUCAUUUUGCAAAAGUAAGUAGUUUUCCUUACUGAAUUCUGCAAUUCUUUCUGUGUUUUCCACAUGACGGAAACCAUAGGGGGCCUAUGUAUGUUAGUGUUGCAGUGUGGGUGGGAGUGCCUGUCUGGGUCCUGGAGCGAUGGUAAUGUGUGGAUAUUAAUGCAGAGGUCCUCUAAGAAAGUGUUCUGCUGUCUUCAAGACAGAGAGAUCCUUUCCGGUUCUAUUAUCACAGGGAGCGACAGAGGAAAGGAGAGAGACAGACCAAAGGGGUGAGAGAGGAGGAGUGAGAGAGUGAGAGAGAGAGUGAGAGAGAGAAUGAGAGAGAGUGAGAGAGAGUGAGAGAGAGUGAGAGUGAGGAAGUGAGUGAGAGUGAGUGAG